Molecule: ribosomal RNA, 407 nt
Filed under: Salmonella enterica subsp. enterica serovar Kentucky
Lineage: Bacteria; Pseudomonadati; Pseudomonadota; Gammaproteobacteria; Enterobacterales; Enterobacteriaceae
Description: bacterial SSU rRNA
Rfam family: Bacterial small subunit ribosomal RNA
Source: RNAcentral
UGAACGCUGGCGGCAGGCCUAACACAUGCAAGUCGAACGGUAACAGGAAGCAGCUUGCUGCUUCGCUGACGAGUGGCGGACGGGUGAGUAAUGUCUGGGAAACUGCCUGAUGGAGGGGGAUAACUACUGGAAACGGUGGCUAAUACCGCAUAACGUCGCAAGACCAAAGAGGGGGACCUUCGGGCCUCUUGCCAUCAGAUGUGCCCAGAUGGGAUUAGCUUGUUGGUGAGGUAACGGCUCACCAAGGCGACGAUCCCUAGCUGGUCUGAGAGGAUGACCAGCCACACUGGAACUGAGACACGGUCCAGACUCCUACGGGAGGCAGCAGUGGGGAAUAUUGCACAAUGGGCGCAAGCCUGAUGCAGCCAUGCCGCGUGUAUGAAGAAGGCCUUCGGGUUGUAAAGUAC